Molecule: ribosomal RNA, 228 nt
Filed under: Triticum aestivum (bread wheat)
Lineage: Eukaryota; Viridiplantae; Streptophyta; Magnoliopsida; Poales; Poaceae
Description: partial small subunit ribosomal RNA
Source: RNAcentral
AUGGCGGCAAGGUUUGCUGCCGUGCCGGUAAUGUUCCUGAUGAUCGUGGUGUUCUUCGCCGUGUCCGGCGCGGCUCGCCAGCUCGGCGGCGACGUGUGGGCGCCGGCCGGGCAGGUCUUCUUCGGCGACGGCGUGGCGGCGCAGCUUCUCCGGCAAAUGUACCUGCAGCGGCUGGGGGCGGGGGCCUCGUGCGGCACCCACAGCGCAAACGGUGGCUGCCCACACUGA